GUGCAGCAGCCGCGGUAAUACGGAGGGGGUUAGCGUUGUUCGGAAUUACUGGGCGUAAAGCGCACGUAGGCGGACUAGUCAGUCAGAGGUGAAAUCCCGAGGCUCAACCUCGGAACUGCCUUUGAUACUGCUAGUCUAGAGUUCGAGAGAGGUGAGUGGAAUUCCGAGUGUAGAGGUGAAAUUCGUAGAUAUUCGGAGGAACACCAGUGGCGAAGGCGGCUCACUGGACCGUGAUCGACGCUGAGGAGCGAAAGCUAGGGGAGCAAACAGGAUUAGAUA
Molecule: ribosomal RNA, 279 nt
Filed under: uncultured bacterium
Lineage: Bacteria
Description: partial 16S ribosomal RNA
Rfam family: Bacterial small subunit ribosomal RNA
Source: RNAcentral